ACAGGAUUAGAUACCCUGGUAGUCCACGCCGUAAACGAUGUCUACUUGGAGGUUGUGGCCUUGAGCCGUGGCUUUCGGAGCUAACGCGUUAAGUAGACCGCCUGGGGAGUACGGUCGCAAGAUUAAAACUCAAAUGAAUUGACGGGGGCCCGCACAAGCGGGGAGCAUGUGGUUUAAUUCGAUGCAACGCGAAGAACCUUACCUACUCUUGACAUCCAGAGAAGCCAGCGGAGACGCAGGUGUGCCUUCGGGAGCUCUGAGACAGGUGCUGCA
This 273-nucleotide ribosomal RNA is filed under the name Vibrio tasmaniensis 1F-155. RNAcentral's name for it is "partial 16S ribosomal RNA". It matches the Rfam family "Bacterial small subunit ribosomal RNA", at positions 772 to 1045 of the family's 1533-position model. Lineage: Bacteria; Pseudomonadati; Pseudomonadota; Gammaproteobacteria; Vibrionales; Vibrionaceae. The record is from RNAcentral.